RNAcentral lists this ribosomal RNA (468 nucleotides) under uncultured bacterium. RNAcentral describes it as "partial 16S ribosomal RNA". It matches the Rfam family "Bacterial small subunit ribosomal RNA", at positions 28 to 507 of the family's 1533-position model. The record is from RNAcentral.
GACGAACGCUGGCGGCGUGCUUAACACAUGCAAGUCGAACGGAAAGGCCCUGCUUUUGUGGGGUGCUCGAGUGGCGAACGGGUGAGUAACACGUGAGUAACCUGCCCUUGACUUUGGGAUAACUUCAGGAAACUGGGGCUAAUACCGGAUAGGAGCUCCUGCUGCAUGGUGGGGGUUGGAAAGUUUCGGCGGUUGGGGAUGGACUCGCGGCUUAUCAGCUUGUUGGUGGGGUAGUGGCAUACCAAGGCUUUGACGGGUAGCCGGCCUGAGAGGGUGACCGGCCACAUUGGGACUGAGAUACGGCCCAGACUCCUACGGGAGGCAGCAGUGGGGAAUAUUGCACAAUGGGCGGAAGCCUGAUGCAGCAACGCCGCGUGCGGGAUGACGGCCUUCGGGCUGUAAACAGCUUUCGCCUGUGACGAAGCGUGAGUGACGGUAAUGGGUAAAGAAGCACCGGCUAACUACGUG